CCUACGGGUGGCAGCAGUGAGGAAUAUUGGGCAAUGGACGCAAGUCUGAACCAGCCAUGCCGCGUGAAGGAAGAAGGUGCUAUGAAUUGUAAACUGCUUUUAUACGGGGGAAAGUACAGAUACGUGUAUCUGGAUGACAGUACCGUAAGAAUAAGGAUCGGCUAACUCCUUGACAGUAGCCGCGGUAAUACGGAGGAUCCGAGCGUUAUCCGGAUUUAUUGGGGUUAAAGGGUGCGUAGGCGGUCAGGUAAGUUAGAGGUGAAAGCGCGGUGCUCAACAUCGAAACUGCCUAUGAUACUGUCUGACUAGAGUGUAGAUGCGGAAGGUGGAAUGUGUUGUGUAGCGGUGAAAUGCUUAGAUAUCACACAGAACACCGAUUGCGAAGGCAGCCUUCCAAGCUAUUACUGACGCUGAGGUACGAAAGCGUGGGUAGCGAACAGGAUUAGAUACCCUAGUAGUC
RNAcentral lists this ribosomal RNA (460 nucleotides) under uncultured bacterium. RNAcentral describes it as "partial 16S ribosomal RNA". It matches the Rfam family "Bacterial small subunit ribosomal RNA", at positions 338 to 795 of the family's 1533-position model. The record is from RNAcentral.